Molecule: transfer RNA, 74 nt
Filed under: Gillisella vitis
Lineage: Bacteria; Pseudomonadati; Pseudomonadota; Alphaproteobacteria; Hyphomicrobiales; Rhizobiaceae
Description: Agrobacterium vitis tRNA-Gly
Rfam family: tRNA
About the family: Transfer RNA (tRNA) molecules are approximately 80 nucleotides in length. Their secondary structure includes four short double-helical elements and three loops (D, anti-codon, and T loops).
Source: RNAcentral
GCGGGUGUAGCUCAAUGGUAGAGCAGCAGCUUCCCAAGCUGAAUACGAGGGUUCGAUUUCCUUCAUCGGCUCCA